AUCGGUGCUUGCACCGAGAUUCACAUGGAACGAGUGGCGGACGGGUGAGUAACACGUGGGUAACCUGCCCUUAAGUGGGGGAUAACAUUUGGAAACAGAUGCUAAUACCGCAUAGAUCCAAGAACCGCAUGGUUCUUGGCUGAAAGAUGGCGUAAGCUAUCGCUUUUGGAUGGACCCGCGGCGUAUUAGCUAGUUGGUGAGGUAAUGGCUCACCAAGGCGAUGAUACGUAGCCGAACUGAGAGGUUGAUCGGCCACAUUGGGACUGAGACACGGCCCAAACUCCUACGGGAGGCAGCAGUAGGGAAUCUUCCACAAUGGACGCAAGUCUGAUGGAGCAACGCCGCGUGAGUGAAGAAGGCUUUCGGGUCGUAAAACUCUGUUGUUGGAGAAGAAUGGUCGGCAGAGUAACUGUUGUCGGCGUGACGGUAUCCAACCAGAAAGCCACGGCUAACUACGUGCCAGCAGCCGCGGUAAUACGUAGGUGGCAAGCGUUAUCCGGAUUUAUUGGGCGUAAAGCGAGCGCAGGCGGUUUUUUAAGUCUGAUGUGAAAGCCCUCGGCUUAACCGAGGAAGCGCAUCGGAAACUGGGAAACUUGAGUGCAGAAGAGGACAGUGGAACUCCAUGUGUAGCGGUGAAAUGCGUAGAUAUAUGGAAGAACACCAGUGGCGAAGGCGGCUGUCUGGUCUGUAACUGACGCUGAGGCUCGAAAGCAUGGGUAGCGAACAGGAUUAGAUACCCUGGUAGUCCAUGCC
This 753-nucleotide ribosomal RNA is filed under the name Lactobacillus sp. HFH0055. RNAcentral's name for it is "bacterial SSU rRNA". It matches the Rfam family "Bacterial small subunit ribosomal RNA", at positions 72 to 801 of the family's 1533-position model. The record is from RNAcentral. Lineage: Bacteria; Bacillati; Bacillota; Bacilli; Lactobacillales; Lactobacillaceae.